This 1287-nucleotide ribosomal RNA is filed under the name Triticum aestivum (bread wheat). RNAcentral's name for it is "partial small subunit ribosomal RNA". Lineage: Eukaryota; Viridiplantae; Streptophyta; Magnoliopsida; Poales; Poaceae. The record is from RNAcentral.
AUGGAAUUCGUGCUAACUGUGUUACUACUUUCUCUUGUGUUGUGCAUCAGCGCAGUUGCCGUCUUCCGGCGUCGUGCUUGGGCUUGGGCCGUCCAUAACGGUCAACAGCCGAUCAUCAAGAUCAGCGACCGUACCAUCGCCCGCCGAGCGCUCAUGGACCACGCUGAUGCCUUCUGCAACCGACCGCUGAACCUAUUCCCCGUGGCCCUGGUCAGCGGGCGUCGCCGCAGUCACAGCGACAACCUCACGUCUGUGCCCUACGGCCCGCGUUGGCGUGUUCUCCGGUGGACCCUCAGCGCCGCGGUCCUCCACCCAUCACGUCUUGGACACACGGACCCGCUGCGCCUCCAGGCCAUGGAUGCCCUUGUUGCUGACCUCCGCGUCCGGUGCGUCGGCGGCGGCGGCGAGAUUGUCAUCCGCGACAUCCUCAACGCCGCCGUGUUUCCGCUGGUGGCUCGCAUGUGCUUCGGUAGCGGCGUGGACGAGGGUCACGUACGCGCCAUGCGUGACUUGCUCCGGGCCUUUGUGCUGGCCGUUGAUGGCAGCAAGGAUUUUGCGAGCUCCAAGACGGCGAAGCUGCUGCACUGGAGGCGGUGGCGCCGGUUCCUCGCCUUCCGAGGCAGGCAGGCUGAGCUUUUCCUCCCUCUGGUCAACGCAAGACGGAACGCUAACCGUCAUCCCAAGCUCAGCGGUGGCCUGCCGGCGUAUCUAGACCACCUCCUCGACGCCCGCGUCCCCGUCGACCACGAAACAGCCGACGGCAAGGCCCUGCGCCCUCUCACAGAUGACGAGCUGGUGAGCCUUCUCUCGGAGUUCCUCGGUGCUGGGCCAGGGACCGUGGUGUCCAGCAUGGAGUGGACCCUCGCCCACCUCGUGCUCCAGCCGGAGGUCCAGAACAGAAUCCGACGCGAGGUCGACGCCCUGGAGGGCGCACUGUCCGAGGCACGCGUCCGGCAGAUGAAGUACAUGCGCGCCGUCGUGCUCGAGAGCCUUCGGCUCCACCCGCCGAUUCCAGUGUUGCUGCGCAACGUCCCCGAUCAGGCGGUCGCCGAAAUCCUGGGACGCGCCGACACCGCCGUGCCGACCGAGGGGAUGCGGGCGCACUUCAACCUGGGAGAGAUCGGCAGGGACAAGAAUGCAUGGACGGACCCUCACAGGUUCCGCCCGGAGCGCUUCCUCGCUGGGGGCGAGGGGGAGGGCGUGGGCCUGGUGCCAGGGCCCAAGGAGAUCAAGAUGAUGCCGGGCGGAGGGCGUGCCCGGGAGGAGGGCUCGCCACCAUGCAUGUGA